AGGAAGAUAGCUCAGUGGUAGAGUGCAUGCAUUUCAUGCAUGAGGCCCUGAGUUGUAUUCCUC
This 63-nucleotide transfer RNA is filed under the name Dipodomys ordii (Ord's kangaroo rat). It matches the Rfam family "tRNA". Rfam says of the family: Transfer RNA (tRNA) molecules are approximately 80 nucleotides in length. Their secondary structure includes four short double-helical elements and three loops (D, anti-codon, and T loops). The record is from Rfam by way of RNAcentral. Lineage: Eukaryota; Metazoa; Chordata; Mammalia; Rodentia; Heteromyidae.